RNAcentral lists this ribosomal RNA (468 nucleotides) under uncultured bacterium. RNAcentral describes it as "partial 16S ribosomal RNA". It matches the Rfam family "Bacterial small subunit ribosomal RNA", at positions 28 to 507 of the family's 1533-position model. The record is from RNAcentral.
GACGAACGCUGGCGGCGUGCUUAACACAUGCAAGUCGAACGGAAAGGCCCUGCUUUUGUGGGGUGCUCGAGUGGCGAACGGGUGAGUAACACGUGAGUAACCUGCCCUUGACUUUGGGAUAACUUCAGGAAACUGGGGCUAAUACCGGAUAGGAGCUCCUGCUGCAUGGUGGGGGUUGGAAAGUUUCGGCGGUUGGGGAUGGACUCGCGGCUUAUCAGCUUGUUGGUGGGGUAGUGGCUUACCAAGGCUUUGACGGGUAGCCGGCCUGAGAGGGUGACCGGCCACAUGGGGACUGAGAUACGGACCAGACGCCUACGGGAGGCAGCAGGGGGGAAUAUUGCACAAUGGGCGGAAGCCUGAUGCAGCAACGCCGCGUGCGGGAUGACGGCCUUCGGGUUGUAAACCGCUUUCGACUGUGACGAAGCGCGAGUGACGGUAAUGGGUAAAGAAGCACCGGCUAACUACGUG